This 505-nucleotide ribosomal RNA is filed under the name uncultured bacterium. RNAcentral describes it as "partial 16S ribosomal RNA". It matches the Rfam family "Bacterial small subunit ribosomal RNA", at positions 28 to 507 of the family's 1533-position model. The record is from RNAcentral.
GACGAACGCUGGCGGCGUGCCUAAUACAUGCAAGUGGGACGCAAGGAAACACACUGUGCUUGCACACCGUGUUUUCUUGAGUCGCGAACGGGUGAGUAACGCGUAGGUAACCUGCCUAUUAGCGGGGGAUAACUAUUGGAAACGAUAGCUAAUACCGCAUAAUAUUAAUUAUUGCAUGAUAAUUGAUUGAAAGAUGCAAGCGCAUCACUAGUAGAUGGGCCUGCGUUGUAUUAGCUAGUUGGUAAGGUAAGAGCUUACCAAGGCGACGAUACAUAGCCGACCUGAGAGGGUGAUCGGCCACACUGGGACUGAGACACGGCCCAGACUCCUACGGGAGGCAGCAGUAGGGAAUCUUCGGCAAUGGACGAAAGUCUGACCGAGCAACGCCGCGUGAGUGAAGAAGGUUUUCGGAUCGUAAAGCUCUGUUGUAAGUCAAGAACGUGUGUGAGAGUGGAAAGUUCACACAGUGACGGUAGCUUACCAGAAAGGGACGGCUAACUACGUG